UGCCCUUUGUACACACCGCCUGUCGCUACUACCGAUUGAAUGGCUCAGUGAGGCGUUCGGACUGGCUCGGGGAGGUUGGCAACGACCACCCCAAGCCGGAAAGUUCGUCAAACUCGGUCAUUUAGAGGAAGUAAAAGUCGUAACAAGGUCUCCGUAGGUGAACCUGCGGAGGGAUCAUUACACAACAAAAUAUGAAGGCUGUACGCGGCUGUGCUCUCGGGCCAGUUUUGCGGAGGCUGAAUUAUUUAUUACCCUUGUCUUUUGCGCACUUGUUGUUUCCUGGGCGGGUUCGCCCGCCACCAGGACCACAUCAUAAACCUUUUUUAUGCAGUUGCAAUCAGCGUCAGUAUAACAAAUGUAAAUCAUUUACAACUUUCAACAACGGAUCUCUUGGUUCUGGCAUCGAUGAAGAACGCAGCGAAAUGCGAUACGUAGUGUGAAUUGCAGAAUUCAGUGAAUCAUCGAAUCUUUGAACGCACAUUGCGCCCUUUGGUAUUCCAAAGGGCAUGCCUGUUCGAGCGUCAUUUGUACCCUCAAGCUUUGCUUGGUGUUGGGCGUUUUUUGUCUUUGGUUGCCAAAGACUCGCCUUAAAAGGAUUGGCAGCCGGCCUACUGGUUUCGCAGCGCAGCACAUUUUUGCGCUUGCAAUCAGCAAAAGAGGACGGCAAUCCAUCAAGACUCCUUCUCACGUUUGACCUCGGAUCAGGUAGGGAUACCCGCUGAACUUAAGCAUAUCAUA
Molecule: small RNA, 738 nt
Filed under: Curvularia hominis
Lineage: Eukaryota; Fungi; Ascomycota; Dothideomycetes; Pleosporales; Pleosporaceae
Description: eukaryotic LSU rRNA
Rfam family: Eukaryotic small subunit ribosomal RNA (bases 1-180)
Source: RNAcentral